ACAUCUCUUUUCUUCCUUCCUUCUUGUAUACAGUGCUUCUGACUGGCUGAGCCUAACUGGAAUCCAGGGCCUUGAUAAUGGGGAAGCUGGGAAAAACAGGAUAUAGUGACCCAGCCUCAGGAGCACAAGAGGGAAUACUGGAGACAAGGAACUGAGGAUUUGCAUCCCUUCCUUCAGCAGCAGGGGACAACUGCAUGUUUCUGGGGCCAUCCUUCUCAGGGAUCAUCUCAGCAUCUGUGAUUUUGCUGUGCCUUUUCCAUUGAUCACCGUGAGUUUGAGGCCAAGUAUACCAGCCAGUCUACUCAGUGUAUUUAUGCAUUCAGCUGUCGGUGGACGUUUGGACUGCCACUUUGAACAUCUCCGUACAGGUGGGCAGUUUGCAAUCACCACCUGCACUUUCUGAUCAAUCUUCACAUCAAUG
Molecule: long non-coding RNA, 421 nt
Organism: Octodon degus (degu)
Lineage: Eukaryota; Metazoa; Chordata; Mammalia; Rodentia; Octodontidae
Exons: 3
Source: RefSeq, a predicted model, not a curated record